GCUGUGGUGUAGUGGCUUGAGUGUUGGACUAUGAUUCCGGAGACCAGGGUUCAAACCCCUGCAGGGGCCA
Phrynosoma platyrhinos (Desert horned lizard) is the source of this 70-nucleotide non-coding RNA. Lineage: Eukaryota; Metazoa; Chordata; Lepidosauria; Squamata; Phrynosomatidae. The record is from the annotation of a GenBank genome assembly.